Molecule: ribosomal RNA, 440 nt
Filed under: uncultured bacterium
Lineage: Bacteria
Description: bacterial SSU rRNA
Rfam family: Bacterial small subunit ribosomal RNA
Source: RNAcentral
CCUACGGGUGGCAGCAGUGGGGAAUAUUGCACAAUGGGCGCAAGCCUGAUGCAGCGACGCCGCGUGAGCGAUGAAGGCCUUCGGGUCGUAAAGCUCUGUCCUAAGGGAAGAAUAAUGACGGUACCUUAGGAGGAAGCGCCGGCUAACUACGUGCCAGCAGCGGCGGUAAUAGGUAGGGGGCGGGGGUUAUCCGGAAUAACUGGGGGUAAGGGGGGCGUAGGCGGGCCUGCAAGUCGGGGGUUAAAUUCCUGGGCUCAACCGAGGUGAGCUCUUGAAACUGUAGGGCUUGAGGGCAGGAGAGGAGAGCGGAAUUCCUAGUGUAGCGGUGAAAUGCGUAGAUAUUAGGAGGAACACCAGUGGCGAAGGCGGCUCUCUGGACUGCAACUGACGCUGAGGCACGAAAGCGUGGGGAGCGAACAGGAUUAGAUACCCGAGUAGUC